ACUGUGAUGAUUUACUUGAGAAAAGGUUCAUUUUCAGCAGUUAGACACUUGUUCAGAGUGCAGGAGGUUUUUGUACGGCCACUUAAUGAGUUUGUAUCACUGUGGUGGACUUUUGGUGGAGGAACCAAGCUCAUCGUUGACUUGGGUGUGGUGAAGCCCACUCUGACCGUGCUCCCACACCAGAGCAGUGCCACUCUGGUGUGUCUGGCCAGUGGGGGUUUUCCGGCAAAUUGGAAGCUGGGCUGGAAGGUGGGGGGCACCAGUACGUCCUCAGGGGUGUCAAACAGCUUGGAUGCCCAGGGUACAGACGGUCGCUACAGCUGGAGCAGCACCCUGAGCCUCUCUGCAGACCAGUGGAGGAAGGCGGGCUCAGUGAGCUGUGAGGCCAGUCUGAGUGGACAGAGCCCCGUCACUCAAACCCUGGACCCUGACCAC
Non-coding RNA from Pundamilia nyererei, 435 nucleotides. NCBI's taxonomy places the organism in Eukaryota, Metazoa, Chordata, Actinopteri, Cichliformes, Cichlidae. The record is from the annotation of a RefSeq genome assembly.